GCCGGGGUGCCCGAGCGGCCUAAGGGGCUGGCCUUGAGAGCCAGUGGGGAUAUCACUCCCCGCGCGGGUUCAAAUCCCGCCCCCGGCGCCA
Molecule: transfer RNA, 91 nt
Filed under: Desulfurococcaceae archaeon
Lineage: Archaea; Thermoproteati; Thermoproteota; Thermoprotei; Desulfurococcales; Desulfurococcaceae
Also listed under: 2 other names
Description: tRNA-Ser
Rfam family: tRNA
About the family: Transfer RNA (tRNA) molecules are approximately 80 nucleotides in length. Their secondary structure includes four short double-helical elements and three loops (D, anti-codon, and T loops).
Source: RNAcentral